AUCUUACUUCAACUUCAGGAAGUAAAUAAUAUGAAGGGGUUGCGGAUGGUACAGUAAAGCGGGCUUUAAACCUGUGAACUUUUAAUUACAAAUCUAAAAUAAAAAUUCCAAUAUUACAUUUAUACCUAAUUAGAGAGGUCAUGAAUGAGAAAUUUCUGAAGUCCGUUCUUUUUUCAUUCUUUCAUGUAAAACAUCGAUUGAAGUUUAUUUGUUUUUUUCUUUUCCUUGAACAACCCAGCCAAAGUAUUAGAUUCAUUAUUGGUAGAAGUAUGCCCUUGAUAUAGGGUUGAAGGAAUACUUCUACUUGAUUAAAAAAAUACAGGGUUAAAGGACUAAAACACCAUCAAAUUUGGGAUUGUUAAGACUAUUGGUUAGACCAUUAGAUUCUCGUCUUAAGUUCUCUCUCUCUCUUUUUUUUUUUUUUUUUUUUUUUUUUUUUUGCUAUGAAGUAUCAUUUUGAUUUUAUUGUCUUAGGUUCAGGAGAUUGAUUUCACUCAAAUGUGUAAAACUGAAAGUGGUUCAAAUACUUGUUCACCUUGAGCAUUGAACAUGGAUCUCCGGUUUAGUCUUUACACUAGAGAAAUAUAAAUUUUCUCAUCAUUUGGUUGCAGUUCUGUUAUGCGUAUAAAUUGUUUAUAGGUUAAUUUGAUUUCCAUGAUUCAUCCUUGAAAAAGGUUAUAGCCCAGUAUGACUUUCACACAAUUAGCCUAACCUCUGUGUCCAAUUUGAUAAGUUAUCUAUUAUGAUCAUGGGAUGGAUGGUGAAUGGAACUUUCAUGACAUCUUUCUUCAUAGUCAAGCUCUGGAGGGCAUAUCAUUAUGUAUGGUAUGUGAAUAAAGAUUUCCAACUGUAAUUCUCGGCAUCUACUUUGAUAUUUUAGCUAUAGAUACCUAUUAUUUUAUUUGUACAAAGACAUAUGGAGAAUGGUUAAUUUUAGUAGCUAUUGUAUUGAGUAUGUCCCGGCUUAUAUUUUAUGCAUCGAGUAUGAACUGAUUGUAGAGGUCUAAACUAUAUUUUGUUACUUCCAGAUUGUGUCUCACUGGAAGAAGGAAGUUCAUUGCAGAUUUGGUUAAAUGAGUUUACAUUAUUGAAACUUGUAAAAGUAUUGUUACUUGGGCAGUGUAUUUCAUAAGGGGUUUGAAGAGUUUAGCUUACAAGUCAAGAUGCAAGUUUUGAAGGUGUCAUAGCUCAAGAAAUCAUUAUCAUUUUCUAGGAUUGUUAGGGGGGAAAUUAUAUUUUUGCUCGGAGGCUGCUUGUAAAUAGUACCGCAACAUACACGUUAUGGUUAUACAGUUAGUAGAAGGAUGUACAUUUUUUGUGAUUAGUUAUCAAGUUUAUACAUGUGUAUGCUUAUUUGUACAUAAUAAAAGUGAUUUUUCUAUUGAUCUCUU
Molecule: long non-coding RNA, 1391 nt
Organism: Lycium ferocissimum
Lineage: Eukaryota; Viridiplantae; Streptophyta; Magnoliopsida; Solanales; Solanaceae
Exons: 2
Source: RefSeq, a predicted model, not a curated record